RNAcentral lists this long non-coding RNA (266 nucleotides) under Elaeis guineensis (African oil palm). RNAcentral describes it as "long non-coding RNA (EGUI_LNC024187)". Lineage: Eukaryota; Viridiplantae; Streptophyta; Magnoliopsida; Arecales; Arecaceae. The record is from RNAcentral.
UCUGCUGCAGUCUUACGACAUGCUACUACCCACCUACAGCCCCCCACAUCACUUUGAUUCUCUCUAGGAGUUAGUUACCAUCCCCUUCCACUUACAUCACUGACCGAUCAAGGCCUCCUUUCCAACUCCUAUGGCUUUUAGGUAGAAUUUGCCGACACCUAUAGCUUGAUCCUUAUCUUUGAGUCAGUAUCAUCCAUCAUGGUUAAUAUAGUUGAUCCAAAUUCUAUCCUUCGACUUAGCUAGACCUACUUCUUCAAAGGUCCAGC